This 895-nucleotide long non-coding RNA is filed under the name Chlamydomonas reinhardtii. Its description in RNAcentral is "long non-coding RNA (CREI_LNC000442)". The record is from RNAcentral. Lineage: Eukaryota; Viridiplantae; Chlorophyta; Chlorophyceae; Chlamydomonadales; Chlamydomonadaceae.
CCUCUAGGGCACCCACAGGUGGGCCAUGCAUUGCCACCUGCCAUACCUGCAUCAGCACCCCAACUCCUAGUCCCAGCCUGAUUAUACAAUGCACCAUGUGCCAACACUCCAUACAAAUGCUGGAAACACAAACAGCCAACUGCCCCACAGCCACCUGGACCCACAUAUCCCUCCCCCCCCCCCCGCCUCCUUAGGGGCACCCACAGGUGGGCCAUGCAUUGCCACCUGCCAUACCUGCAUCGGCACCCCAACUCCUAGUCCCAGCCUGAUUAUACAAUGCACCAUGUGCCAACACUCCAUACAAAUGCUGGAAACACAAACAGCCAACUGCCCCACAGCCACGUGGACCCACAUAUCCCUCCCCCCCCCGCCCGCCUCCUUAGGGGCACCAUCAGAUGGGCCAUGCAUUGCCACCUGCCAUACCUGCAUUGGCACCCCAACUCCUAGUCCCAGCCUGAUUAUUCAAUGCACCAUGUGCCAACACUCCAUACAAAUGCUGGAAACACAAACAGCCAACUGCCCCACAGCCACCUGGACCCACAUAUCCCUCCCCCCCCCGCCUCCUUAGGGGCACCCACAGGUGGGCCAUGCAUUGCCACCUGCCAUACCUGCAUCAGCACCCCAACUCCUAGUCCCAGCCUGAUUAUACAAUGCACCAUGUGCCAACACUCCAUACAAAUGCUGGAAACACAAACAGCCUACUGCCCCACAGCCACCUGGACCCACAUAUCCCUCCCCCCCCGCCUCCUUAGGGGCACCCACAGGUGGGCCAUGCAUUGCCACCUGCCAUACCUGCAUCGGCACCCCAACUCCUAGUCCCAGCCUGAUUAUUCAAUGCACCAUGUGCCAACACUCCAUACACAUGCUGGAAACACAAACAGCCAACUGCCCCACA